Molecule: transfer RNA, 77 nt
Filed under: Acidobacteriota bacterium
Lineage: Bacteria; Pseudomonadati; Acidobacteriota
Description: Acidobacteria bacterium (activated sludge metagenome) tRNA-Pro
Rfam family: tRNA
About the family: Transfer RNA (tRNA) molecules are approximately 80 nucleotides in length.
Source: RNAcentral
CGGGGAGUAGCGCAGUCUGGUAGCGCACCUGCUUUGGGAGCAGGGGGUCGCAGGUUCAAAUCCUGUCUCCCCGACCA